Molecule: small RNA, 68 nt
Organism: Oceanobacillus picturae
Lineage: Bacteria; Bacillati; Bacillota; Bacilli; Caryophanales; Bacillaceae
Rfam family: Bacillaceae-1 RNA
Source: Rfam
UACUGAUGACCUUCGACUAAAUUCCGACACGUCCUGUGUCGAACGUCGAAGUCACCACAUCCUGUGGA